This 493-nucleotide long non-coding RNA is filed under the name Elaeis guineensis (African oil palm). Its description in RNAcentral is "long non-coding RNA (EGUI_LNC072155)". Lineage: Eukaryota; Viridiplantae; Streptophyta; Magnoliopsida; Arecales; Arecaceae. The record is from RNAcentral.
UCCUGAUCAAAUCAGGGAUCAAACCAUCUCGAUGAUUAGGUCAACUCUUAACCUAAUCGGGUCAAACCCAACUGAAUCUAAUUCAAUUGGACUUGAUCCAAAAAUAAUUACUCAAUCAAAUUAAGUUAACUAGAAAUCAAAUCACUAAUUAAACCUCUCAUAAAUAUUGAGUUCAAAUCCGAUGGGUAAUCGGGCAUCAGAAUUCAUCGAUAUGUAACCCUGAUCGAAGAGUCCCAAACCAGUGGGACUCUUGACCCCGGUACCCAAAAUGUGUGGGACUCAUGAUCAGAGAAUCUUGAUUCUCAAUCACAGAGUCCCAGACACAUAGGACUCAUAGUCCAUGAGUAUUAGGACUCUUCAUCAGCCAUCAGAUCAGAUAGGAACCUCUAAUGUGUGUGACCCUGCAGGUUCGAACCUAAGCCGGUAGCACAGGAACCAAUUCCUGUACUAAUCGAAGUGACCAUCUAGCAAUGGUAUCCGAUGACUGGAUAGG